Molecule: long non-coding RNA, 7913 nt
Filed under: Ananas comosus (pineapple)
Lineage: Eukaryota; Viridiplantae; Streptophyta; Magnoliopsida; Poales; Bromeliaceae
Description: long non-coding RNA (ACOM_LNC043346)
Source: RNAcentral
UUUGGGCUGGUCCGGUACAUUGGUCGGGUAGUUUUUGAAAGUUUUGAGGAGCCCAAGGAUCUAUCUAGAUUAUAUCUAACACCUAGAGGAGGGUGAAUAGGUGUAAUAGCCAAAAACCAUAAAUCUCAAUGCGAUAAAAAUAAAUGUGGAAAAUAAAAAUCACACCGAGAUUUACGUGGGAAAACUCCAACUUGGAGUAAAAAACCCACGGGACCAACACGCGAUAAUAAUCCACUAAGAAUAAAAGAUUACAAGGUGAUUUACCUAAUCCACGGACUCAAACCUCUCUUUUAUCUUCUCCGGAUCUCGCGCACACCAACGGGUUGUCCACGCCCCACGUCCGACUCCACGAACGCCACGUUCCAAAUCCACGAAACGCCACACUUCGAAUCCACGAAGCCUUGAUCACGCCGAAUCCACGACGCCACUCGAAUCCACUUACCCACGAUCCGAAUCCACGAACCGCCUUCGUUCACGCCGAAUCCGCGACGCCGUUCAUGAAGAGCAUCAUGAUUAUGAUGAUCCUUUGCUUAGAGUAUCAUAGAAAACCAGAGAAGAAAAACUCUAAGCGAAGUGUAGAUCAAAUCGACAUAUUGAUAUCAAAUUACAAUCUCUCGAUUUGACCUAAAAAAGGCUAUUUUGUAGAAAAUAGGUUUAGCACGAAAUCCUAGCCUCUAGGGUUUCUCAAACAUGAAUUCUCGUGAUGCUUGAUAUAUUAGAGAACCCCAAUAGCUUAUUUAUAGACUUUAGAAUCAAUAGGAGUCGGAUUAGAAAGUUUUUUCGAAAAUUAUAUUGUGUACCGGUACACUUUAAGCUGUUACCGGUUACACGAUGACAGAAGAGAAAACCUGCGUAAUGCUGUAACCGGUGACAAGUCGCUUGUUGUACCGGAACAGAAUGUGUACCGGUACACUUUGCAAAAAUCCAUUUUUUGCACGGUUUCGGGUUUUGCAAAGUACCAACGCACUUUCUAAUCCAAUAAACUUUGGUAUUAUGAUUCUAAUGUCUACAACUAAGUAUGAAUCACCAUAACAUGAAUUAAAACCUUACCUGGGCAUCGUGAUUCACAUAGUGAGUUAAUUCCGCUUUCUUCGAAAUCUUGGAUUCUUCGAUCUUCGACGAUACACACCGAUCCUUUAAGACUCCGACUCACUUCACGAAACUUGCCAACAUAUAAGACUUAACAAUCUCCCCCUUUGGCAAUUUCGUGACAAAACUCACAAACUCAAAAUUACAUAAUAAGAAUCGAAGUUCAAUUGUCAUCACCAAAACAUUGAACUCCUCGCAUGUAGUCCAAAUACAAUUUGAAACUCAAAAGUACAUCAAAAACUCCUAAAACAAACUCUAUGACUUAGACGCAACUAGAAGUCUUGAAGUCUUGAUUUCCUGCAAAACAGAUUAUCCAAAAUAAUGUAGAAACUGACAAACAUUCGACAUUCUCAUAUUGAAGUCAUUUUCUUCAUCAUUGUCCUCGAAAUUUCAUUCAUUCUUUUUCUCGAAAUUUNUCCUUCUUUUCCUCGGAAUUUCACUCCUUCUCCCCCUUUGUUCUUUAUUCCUUCUUCUCCUUUGUUCUUUAUUCCUUCUUCUCCUUUGCUAUGAUCAAUACCUGUUCAUCAUUGCUCUCCCCCUUUUUGUCAAAAAAUUGCCAAAGACAAAGCAUAUAAAUAGAAAAAGUAUACUAGAAAGCAUAAGAGUAGUCAUGUUAUAGUUACAGGUCUAAAAGAAAAUAAAUGCAAAAGCAAAGUAAAGCAACAAGCACAACUAAACUAAACAUCAUCCUAAAAAGCAAAGUAGAAAAACAGAGCUCGAGGACGAAGUCACUCAGUGUCCUCGUCAUCAUCAUCAUCAUCGUCUCCUGCUCCAGCUCCAGAUCCUCCAGCCUCAGGAGCACCACUGGAUGGUGGAAUGAGUGGAUGUCUCGACGUAGACCUCGUGUAAGUGGUGUAGGUAGGCUGAGUAGGAAAUACGUCGUCAUGCCUACAGCCUAGCUUCUCCAAAAUCCUCUUCAUUCCCACAUCCACUUUCUUAGUAAGAUCUGCCACUUUCUUCUUUAAAGAGCGCACCUCAUGGUGAAGUGAUUCCACAGUAAUCACUCCCCCUGAGCUCGAAGAUCCCUCGCGCUCUGCAUGACGUGGAGGUGCUGAACUAGAAGCUCCUAUGGAUGAUCCUUUAGUUUGCUGGAAUGUCUUUAAUGUGCUGACUGACUUGUCCCAAGUUACUGUAUCAAUCGGUCCAAGUCCAGUGUCGUACUUUUCACACGAGACAUCAACUCCGUAUUCUUGCAGAAUCCUCGUGAUCAACAACGGAACGGAAGUAGUUCACGUCGAACUGGAGACUGUAUAACAUGUGCCAUUCUUUGCCACAUCAGAAAGGGAAUAUUGAUGUUUAACCCGUCCAUUUACUCAGGAUGUCCAAGAAGAUAUAGAAGCACCAGACGAUCCCAACGAAUCCUUUUUGUUCCAAUUGUAGGUUGAACAUUGUAGCUCAUCACCAAGGAGAGUAAAUGAUACUCGGGUCGCAAGUCCUUGGAUUCCACGUAUGCAUGAUUUGUCCGCACACCAUCCUUGCAGAUCGCACGAACAACUGUCUCCCAGUGAGACGAAGACUGAUAAAUCCCAGUAGUAUCAUGAAGUCAUGUUGACUUUAAUCUGUCACGCUCCGGAGUCCUUUUUUGUUUGAAAACACAGCGGAAAUAGCUAGAAAUUUUUUUUUGAAAGACCUGACCCCAGGGUAUGCCAGAUCCUCCACAAAUACAGAGAGUUCACUGAUCACAUGGACAUAGUCUCCCCUAUAUUUGCACGGCGUCACACAAGUACAACAAGUAAACAGGAUACAACCACAACUAAAUGAAUAUAGAAAUAACUAUACAAUCAUUCAUUCACCAUUCGCAUCACAGUUAUACAUUCAAUAUUUAAACAUAAAUCUACAUCUAUAAGUUAAAAUGUUUCCAACCCAGAAACAGGUUUUGAAAUACUAAGAUACAAAAUCCACAGAAAAUCUUUUAAAAACUGUUCCCUACACGGAAACUUUUAUAUUUUAGAAACGCUACCACGAGGGGUAGAAAACCAUUCAACAUUUGAACUCCACAAAUCCUUUUUAUUUGAAUAUCUGAGUUUUCAGUUGGUGUCGUGUCAACAUGCAUGCCCAACAACUCUCCAAUCGUGUGAGGAGUGACUAGAACCCUCUCCCCACGUACAUAGGUCUCAAGAAGAUAAGUCCCGGUCUCUUCAUCCUUAGCACACACCUUUCCAUUCAUGUAGAACUCCCGAAUGAGUUCCACACAAAAAGGAGAUCGAGCCGGAACACGUCCAACUGGCUUCAAUGGGGACCCUCUGUAGUAAGCGACCAAAAUCUGGAACCUCUUGGAUUAGGUCAUGGAAGUUGACAUAUCGCUCAGCAAUGCAUGACCUGCUCGAAAACGUCCUCCGCCGCUCCUGUAGAACAUCCGCGGCUUGCUUUGACCGAGUCUCUCUUGCACGAGAACCACCUCCAUGCGAGGAUUCUCUAGCUAUGCCUUUGCCCUUGUCAGGACGAGCAAUAGGUUCUUCAGCCUCCUCCGGGGAGCUCGCCUGAUAAUCCGGAUCAGAACCCGGUGACUCGUCUGCAGUACGAGUCCUCUUAGAGGCCCCACGACGGCCUCUACCACCACCUCGGCCACGUCCAGCGGCCAUCAGCACCAAAAUCAGCAACACGAGCGAAAACGCCAUUUGUCCUAUACAAAAAUUAACCUUGCUUGAACAAAAUCUUGAAAAAAUUUGUAAAAACAGCGAAAAAAUUUCUAAUAAUAUUAGAAUGCAUACUAACGCUAUUUCUAACCAGAUCAUGCAAAAAUUUUCAUCAAAAAUGACAUUUUAUCAAAAAUCCCGAAAUUCCUUGUAUAUAGAGGUACAGAUAAAAAAUUAGCAAAAAUUACAGCAAUAUAACCUGAUCUAAGUGUACUAGAAGCAAGAUUAUAUGUCUAAAUACUGAUUCAUAGCAAAAAAUUGCAUCAAAAACGCAUCAAAAUGCAGAUCAUGUUUCAACUCGGAAUAUUUUCGAAAAAAAUAGCAUAAACGGGAUGAGAAUGAUUAAAUCCGCCCCAAAUACUUACAGAUUUUGAAGGAAAACGCAUAGAUCUGGAGGAGGAAGGCACUAGGGAAUUUUAGAAAGAGAAAGGAAGAGUUUUGGUUUGAAUUUGGGAAAGAAUCGAAACUUGUAACCGGUUAUAAUAUCCGCGGCUACAGUGUUUUGUACCGGUACACGGUAUUUUGUACCGGUACACUUUCACAGAUUUUGAAAAUUUUGAAUAUUUUCAUCAAAAAUCCCUCAAAAUCAAAUUAAUUUCAUAAAGAUUAAAGAUUAUAGUCCAAAAAUCAUUGUGAUGAAAAUUAAUUAUUAUAAGAUUUCAAAAUACACCGAGACAUCAAAAUUUGUAAUCGAAAAUAAUCUAAUGAUUCAAAACCAUCAAGAUGUAAGUUGAUGAAAAAUGAUUUUUAGAAAUUCAACAAAAUUGACACCAAUUUGUCGUAACUCGUUCAAAAUAGAGAUUUAACUAAUAUGGCACCGGGGGUGGCUCUUUGAGCAUCUUUUCAUCCUAUCACCUUAUAACUCCGAAAAAUUCUAAAAUAUUCAUUUUUUUUUCAACCUUUUCGGCUUUUCAAUUAAAUUCCAUGUGGUAGCUUCACACAUUUACCGGACGACCGGGAUGGUAGCUCUUUCCUACAUGUGGUGGUAGUUUUCACACUCUUUUUAGGAUGUAACUCUUUCCACAUCUUUUAAACAUAGGAGUAUCUUUUUUUUUUUUUUAUAAAUAAUUUCAAACUCCCCCUAAAUCAGACAUCUCACAAUUGAAAGUAAUUUUGACAAAAUUUUAGUCGAUUAGUGAAUAUCCAUCCAUCAUAUUCAACACACAUAACAAAGAUGAAUUAAUCACCAAAAGAUCAAAAUUGAUUUCAAAAUUUUGAUGAAUAUAUGUGUUAAGAAUUCAUAUAAUCAAUUAUCGUCAAAAUAAUGAAAAGUUGAGUAAAAUCGAUAAUUAAUAUGAAUUUAAUUCAAGAUGAAUGUGAAGUUAAAUACCGUUUGAAGCACUUUAAAAAAUUUAAUCUAUCCAAAAUAAUGAUUUUUAAUCAUCUCCUUUCUCAGAGAAAAAUUUUAAAUUUUCAAACACUUUUCCUCAAAUCAAUUUUAAAAAUAAAUUUUACACACGGAAAUCAUCAUGUAAUGCAAUGAAUAAAAAUAUGCAACAAGCACCAAUCAAAGCAUUAUAUAAACAAUAAAAACAAACUAAGACGAAGAGCAAGGAAAGAUAUCACCUUUCCGCAUCCAAACUUGUCGGAUUUUGCGUUGUCUUGUCUUGUCGACGUUAAGCACAAUUUGCUUUGAUUUUUGAUCAACCGUUGGUCGUUUCAUUGCUUGAGGCUUCGGUUGGAAUUAUUGAUGAAAUUUUGAAUUCCGGUUUGCUUGUGGGUAUGGUUGAAUUUGACGUUGCAGCUUAGAAGUCCGGUUUCCUCAAGGUACUCGACUCAAUUGAUUUUUCUUUUGAUUCCGUAGGGGAUGUCGGGUAGUAGAUGAUGCCGAAUGAGGUUUAGAGAAUACCGAUUGACGUUUCAAAUCCUUGUUCGGACAACUCUUUUUAAUGUGUCCUUUGAUGCCACAUUUAUGACACACCUUCUCUUUCAAAAUUGUUGAGACUUUAGAAUUUGACUUUUGAUCCUUCUCAACAUACGUUCUUUCAUAUCCGAGGCCCAACUUAUUCAUUUGACCCAAUCCGAGCAUAUGAUCCAAUUUCUUAGAUCCCGAAGAAAAUCUUUGAAUAUCGGAUUGGAGUUGAUGAACUUGAUUAGUCAAGGCCUUGUUGGAUUUGUGCGAUUCUUCAAAUUGAUGCUUCAAAAAUCCAAUCUUGUCUUUAGAUGAUUUGAUCGUUGAUUCCGCUUCAUCAAGCUUCUCUUGGAGGAUCAAAUUAUUCUUCGAAAUCGAUUCCUUUUCCUCCUCAAGAGCUUUAUUCAUUAUCUUCAAGUUGUUGUUUUCCUCUUCGAUAUCCAACAAACGACGCCUCAACAUAUCCAACAAACGACGCCUCAACUUCUUAUUGUGCUUGGUCAUCUUUUUUGAAUCAAUAAGAAGUUGGUUGUAUGCUUCCAAUAUAUCAUUGUCGUUCGAUUCCUUCUCGCUUUCACCGAUAUCGCUCGAAGUACCUUGCACGGAAGGAAAAACACUAGAAUUAGUAACAAUAGAGGAUAAGCACAUAACAUUAGACGAAGGCAAAGAAUUAUUAGCAAUUAAAGCAAUAUGUUCAUUCUUUUCUUCGUCACUUGAAGAUGAUUCACUCGAAGUAGAAUCAUCCCAAGUUUUUGCUUGCAAAGCCUUUUGUCUAUAAGUCUUCUUAGAAGGACAAUCUGUUGCAAUGUGACCGUAGCCUUUAUAUUUGUAGCAUUGAAUUUUCCCUUCAAAUUCAUCUUUUUCAUUCGAAGACUUUGCAAGUUUUUUAUCCUUAGAUUUUAAAGAUGAAGAUGAUUUAGAAAGGAUUGUUGCUUAGACGAUGAAGCCUUGUCCGAUUUAAUCUUCCGAAAAUUCCGUCGGAACUUCUUCGUUAGGAGCGCUGAUUGAUGUCCGAAAUUGGCGAGCGAGCGAAAUAUCUCCAUCAGAAUCCGAGUCGUCGUCUUUUUUCUUUGUUGAUUUGAGUGCAAUCCCUGUACUUUUAGAAAAAGACUUGGAAGAAGAUUGAUUAGUAGGAAAAGUAAGUUUGUAAAGCGCCUACUAAUUCCUCUACUUUCAUCUCGUCCGGAUGCUUAACGGUUUCGAUCGCAGCAACCUUUGCACGAAAGCGUUCCGGAAGAGUCCGAAGAAUUUUUCUAACCACUUUCGAAUCCAGAAUUUUCUCUCCCAAGUUUGCGCAUGUAUUAACAACGUCUUGUAGAUGCGUAUAGUACUCGGUAAAGGUCUCGUUUUCUUUCAUAAAAAUCGAAUCAAAUUUGCUUGUUAGUAUUUGUAAUUUUUGGACCUUUACUAAGCUAGUUCCUUCAUGCGUAACUUGUAGAGUAUCCCAAAUCUCCUUUGCGGUUUCACACACCGAAACACGAGUAAACUCCGUUUGCGAUAAAGCAUUGAAUAAAGCAUUAAUUCCUUUACCGUUAAACAAAGAUGACUCGUUUUCAUCUUUCGUCCACUUGUUCCGUGGUUUAGGAACGGUAGCAUUAUCGACGACUUCGGUAGGAUGCUUCCAACCGAAUUCUAUUGAUUUCCAUACACGCUCAUCGAUUGCAAUUAGAAAAGCUCUCAUGCGAACUUUCCAAUAGGCAUAAUUUGUGCCGUCAAAGAGCGGUGGUCGAUUAAUGUUACCGCCUUCAGCCAUUAGAUAUCAAUAUAUCUAUACCAAUUGAAAGUUUUCAGGAGCACAAGGAUCUAUCUAGAUUGUAUCUAACACCUAGAGGAGGGUGAAUAGGUGUAAUAGCCAAAAACCACAAAUCUCAAUGCGAAAAAAAUAAAUGCAGAAAAUAAAAAUCACACUGAGAUUUACGUGGGAAAACUCCAACUUAGAGUAAAAAACCCACGGGACCAACACGCGAUAACAAUCCACUAAGAAUAAAAGAUUACAAGGUGAUUUACCGAAUCCACGGACUCAAACCUCUCUUUUAUCUUCUCCGGAUCUCGCGCACACCAACGGGUUGUCCACGCCCCAUGUUCGACUCCACGAACGCCACGUUCCGAAUCCACAAAACGCCCACACUUCGAAUCCACGAAACCUUGAUCACGCCGAAUCCACGACGCCACUCGAAUCCACGAGCCCACGAUCCGAAUCCACGAACCGCCUUCGUUCACGCCGAAUCCACGACGCCGUUAAUGAAGAGCAUCAUGAUUAUGGUGAUUCUUUGCUUAGAGUAUCGUAGAAAAUCAAAGAAGAAAAACUCCAAGCGAAGCGUAGAUCAAAUCGUCAU